AUUGAACGCUGGCGGAAUGCUUUACACAUGCAAGUCGAAUGGCAGCACGGACUUCGGUCUGGUGGCGAGUGGCGAACGGGUGAGUAAUGUAUCGGAACGUGCCCAGUCGUGGGGGAUAACGUAGUGAAAAUUACGCUAAUACCGCAUACGAUCUAAGGAUGAAAGCGGGGGAUCGCAAGACCUCGCGCGACUGGAGCGGCCGAUAUCAGAUUAGGUAGUUGGUGGGGUAAAGGCCCACCAAGCCAACGAUCUGUAGCUGGUCUGAGAGGACGACCAGCCACACUGGAACUGAGACACGGUCCAGACUCCUACGGGAGGCAGCAGUGGGGAAUUUUGGACAAUGGGCGAAAGCCUGAUCCAGCCAUUCCGCGUGCAGGAUGAAGGCCCUCGGGUUGUAAACUGCUUUUGUACAGAACGAAAAGGUUUCUACUAAUACUAGGAGCUCAUGACGGUACUGUAAGAAUAAGCACCGGCUAACUACGUGCCAGCCGCCGCAGUAA
Molecule: ribosomal RNA, 500 nt
Filed under: uncultured bacterium
Lineage: Bacteria
Description: partial 16S ribosomal RNA
Rfam family: Bacterial small subunit ribosomal RNA
Source: RNAcentral